CCCCUAGAGUCAAUUACAGCCAGUGGGGCCCGCCGAUGUUUUGAUAGUCUUUUCUGGAGUCAUGACAAGGAAAAUGAAAGGACCCACGGGACCUCUUUCGUCACUAACAGCCGGGUAUCACGGUUGGGGGUGGAGGAAGGAAAGAAAAAUCACCUUUUCCCCCUCUCUGAGCUCUUCAGCAGAACUCAAGCCUGGGCGGCCAACAUGUUGGUGUUGAGAAAACAUCUGUUCUCAAGCAGAACUAAUUGGCAACAGAAAUGGAACUCCCCCCCCCGACCCCCCAAAAAAGCAUAGACCUGCUUUAUCCCUGGGUAUUCUGGACGCGUUGUGUGCCACAGCCCAAGCACAGCCAUCAGCCUCACACAGCCAAGGUUAUCACCCGUUACCACCCAUCCCGGCUGACCUUUCUUGCAGUAAGCUAGUUGUCAAGGUCAGUGGCCAAAGCAGCCCAGCCUGGAGGGACACUUGCAUGGCUGUUGCCCGGCACCCCCUCCCUGCUCCCAGGAACAGCAGUUGGCUUGGGGCACCUCACUCCGUGAUUUGCCGUCGCUGGUUUGGAUGGAACUGACGCCUCCUCAGCUCCAAAGAGGAGCCCUGGCAGUUGCUUAAGCCAAUGAGCAUAUCGCAGGGAGGUCUCGGGAAUGGGCCUCCAACUCAACUAGAAACAAUAAGGCAUGAGAAGGAACAUUCCACGAGACUUCUGGAAAAGAGGGCUCUUGCCAUUUUAGAGGUGCAGAGAGGUAAAGUAAUUUGCUCAGUCACACAGCAUACUCGUUGGGGGUCCAGGAUUUGAACCCAAGUCUGUAGGAAUGAAGAGUUUGUGACACCUAACUGCUAGGCUCUGCCAAGAGACGGCAUAAACUCUAGAAGAAGCCAGACAAGCUGGAUCCUAACCCAGUUCUGGCAUUUACUGCAUGAUUUCAGGCAAAUUACUUAACCUCUCUGUUCUUUAGUUUUCAGAUCUUCAAAGUAGGGCUUAAAGAGCACCUCUACUUGCAGGCUCUGAAGGGCGAAUGAGUUAGUAACAACACAUGUAAAGCGUGUGGAAUAGUGCCUGUCACGGGGUGCGGCUUUGCCCCAUCCCGUCACGCUAUUUCUCACACGCGGGGAGAAUCAGACUAAAUAAAGGCAGGUGGGGGCGGGGAGGAAGGAGAGGUCGAUGCUGUCGGGGCAAGGUCUCUAUCCCCUACCCCGAUUUUCCUUCCUGAGGCGCAGUGGUCAGGCUCGGUUCCCCUCCAGGAGCAGCUGUACCACAAAGAACUCACAGCCAGCUCACGGCUUUGUGUAUUCUCAGACCUGGCGAGACAGAGCCAGUGGCAGCCAGGCCUGUCCGUGUCGGGGUGGUCAAGAUACGGGGAAGUGCCACUCAUUCAAGUGACAAAAGGUAAGACCUCUAACUAAUGCCACAUGGUGGAGGGCGGAUGUGAAUUGGUACAGAGGCAUCAGAAAAUAAUCUAUGACUUCAUAUUCCCUACAACCUAGCAAUUCCUGUUGCACACCUGAGAUGCACACCAGCACGAAUGUAGUAGGACAGGUGUAAGAACACUCAGAGGAGAACUGUUUGUAACAGCCAACAGACAUGUGGGUAAAAGCCCAAAUGCCCGUGGACGCGGCAAACCAUGGACUAGUAUAGAGCCGGGAAAUGCUGCAUCUACAGCAAGCUCUCUGCUGCCAUAUGGAUGGGUUAUAGUGCUAAAAUGCUUUAAGAAAGUUUAAGUCCACAAGACACGUAUAGUCAACUUAAAGUCACAUUUGGAGCUUAAAGUUCAAAAAUAAGCGACAGUAAAUAAUAUAUAUUAAUAUAUUUGUUGGCAUCAAUAUGUGAGUGGCAGUACUUUUUUUAAAACGAGGGAAAUCAGAAUGAUGAAAAAGUUUUGGAGAUGGAGGGUGGUGAUGGUUGCAGAACACUGUGAAUGUACGAAAUGCCACUGAAUUGUAUACCUAAAAAUGGAAAAGAUGGGAAAUUUUAUUUUACGUACCAAGGGAAAGAUUAACAAAAUUCAUGAUAGACAGUGGGAAGGAGGAUGGUCGCAUGGUUAUAAACAGCUGUCUAAGUUCUGGGUUAUGGAUUGGGUGGUGGGUACACAGGUGUUUUUAUAUUUUAUAAAGAGCUACAGUGAGCUGCUUAGAUGAAAGGGUAAACCGGGCCAUCCAGGUGCCUCUUUCACCUGGGUUGUGAUUAAUUCACUUCUGCCAGAGGUCCAUUUUUGAAGACUUGAGGAAAGCUCUUUGGACCUGGAUUUGGGGACCAGGGAUCUAAUGCCCCCAACCCUCCGGCAAGUGAGAAAAGACCUUGAACCUUCCCGCUGCUGUCACCCAGGCAGUAGCCUCUUUGGCGUCUGGUGGCUGGAGGCCUCCCGUGGUCUGGAGGGACCACUUAAGCCCACCUACUCCCGCCUCCACCUGCAGGGUCCUCCCCUCCCCCACCACUCACUGCCCCGCGCAGAGCGUAGAGAGCCACACUGCGCAUGCUCCUCAGGGGAGGGCUGCCUGCAGCGCGACGCGACGCGGGCGGGCGGGUGGUGGGGAUUCCAUUCAAGGGACACCUCGGUAGCAGCCACCUGGCCACGACAGCGUCCGCGUCCCAGACUCUGCCCGACUCCGGGCUCGUCCGAACUCGGGCAUAACCUAGAAAGCCAUCUUCGCAUUCCCAGAAUGACUUCCCCAGCUGAGGAAUUCGGCGUUCAGGGUUGCGGCUUUCUUCUGUGCUUUUAUGAGAGCCCCCGCUCAAGGCAUCUUCUACAAUUUGUUGAGUUGGAAGAGAAACAAGGCAAAUGGCAGGAAAAUCAAAUGAGAUCAUGACUUCACCAGAGCAAAACCGAGAUCCCUCGCCCCCAGUGAAAGCAAACAAAAGCUGGAAGAGAACGAGUUCGACCUGAUCUCCUCCGCCUUCUCCACCCCCAUCUCCAGGCCCAGACCCGGAGACGCCGGGGUUCAGAGGGGAGACUCAGAGUCCCAGAGCGCCCUCCACCCCGAGAAAGACCCAGAGCUGCCCUUGGGAUUCCAGGACAAGGAACCAGAGGAGUGUCCUCUAAGGAGGCUGCUGGGCGGGAUCACGAUAAGCGUCCAGGGACCGUGCCCUCCAGCUCCGCUGCUCCACCCAUGGCCAUCUGGGACUUGCUGGGACCAACAAAUUGAGGCAGACGUGGUGGCCCUCCAGCUUCGGAACCAUCGUUCACCCUGCAUCUGUCUUUGCUUUCACGUUCUUGGAAUCUCAAGACCUCAGAGGGUGAAGAGGGGGCCAGCCUCCUAGAAGAUGGACGGGAGCCAUGGCACCUGAGCCGGAGCCAGACUGCUGCUGGCCACGCGAGGGCAGCCAUCUGGACCCUCCAGCCCUCGUCGAGUGGUCAGGUGACCACGGUCACACGCAUGAGCCCAGGAGAGGCCAGCAGAACCACCCAGUGUGCCAGUAAGACACGACCAGCUGGCCCUUUCCUGGAGCCAUCAAGGCUUGGGUGGUUUGUUACACAGCAGCUAGAGCUCCAAUCAUUGUUAACACAGUGAAAGCGGAGGCUCGGCCUUGAAACCACAGCCGUAAAGAGGAUUCCAGCAUGACACAGGGAUGACAGCACUUUCUGGAGGCUUUGCCCGAACACCCCUACUGCGUCCUUAGCACAUUCAUUAGGAUUCCGGGAGCCCAACCCUGCUUUGGCUUUUCGCUUGCACGUUAAAUAUUUGACCACCAUUUCCCACCUGAAAGAAAGAGCUACCUUUAGCACUGGGGACACAGAUACAUUUGGCACAAUAAUGUCUUCUAAGAACUCUCAGGACAACAAAGGAGGUAGACAAGAACCUUAUUGUAUUCGCUCAGCAAAUAUCUGUGUCCCAGGCACUAUGCAGAGGGCUGGGAAUACAAUGAUAGGAAAGCCACAAAUCCAGACUCACAGGAUCGGAGCCUGGCCCUGAAGGGGACGCUGCUGAAAAGAAAAUGCAUUAACGGAUAAUGGCAAACAGUGCUAAAUGCUGUGAAGCAGCAGCUCAGAUGGCUCUGGAAGAGAAUUAGUCUGGUGAGAGGAGGCCAGAAAGGUUUUACUGGAGGAAGAGCAUUUCGCACAAAGACUCGAAAGAGCAGAUGAAGUGCCUGGCCAAAGCGGAGGGGAAGAAGGUUCCAGGCCCGAGGGAAUAUGGCGGUGGCCCUCACCAGGAGCAGUUAGGUUAACCUAGAACCCAACUCUAUUGUACCUUUAGACACAGAGUGGCUUUUGCCUGGUUUUACCAUACAUUGAAUUUUCCUGGAAUGCAAGGACCAUGCCAGUUGAGAGAAGGCUGAGGUGGAUUUGCUUGGGGAUUCACACUGGUCACCCUCCUGGAGGGAGAGCACUGGCAGCAACUCCACUCCACGUGCUGGCGGCACAUGAGCGGUCAACACCCCACACCUAGACCUGCCCGCACGUGGAGCGGUCCCUCUCACCUGUUUCUUCCUGUUCUGCUCAAGCACCUGCCUCCUUCAUUGGGACUUGCAGCAUUAUAAUAUAUAUGGUUUUAUUAUACAUUCCACUUAUUCUUCCUUAUUUGAGAGUUUCAGAAUGACAUGUGUAUGUUUUCAAUCCAAUGAGUAGGUAGGUUAUAUUAUUUAUGAGGUUCAUUUUGGGGUAGACAAAGCAGCCCUGGAUCUGAUGAGGUUAAAACCACAGGUUAAGACCUGCCUUUCGCUGUGGGACAGGGAGUUGGGCUGGUGUAAGAACUACCAGGAGGAAGGGGGUUGGAGCCCAGAGACCUGGGAGCAGGGUGGGACCAGAUGAGGCUGGCAGAGGACUGGGGACAUCACAACCCUCGACUCUGCCGGAGGGGAUGCGAAAAGGUACCAUCUGGUGGUACCUCCGAGGUGCAACAUGGAACAUCACCCGAAACAGCCAGUCCGUUCCUAGGCAUAGACCCAAGAGAAGUGGAAACAUGUCCUGAACACAGAUGUUCACAGCAGCACUAUUCGUAUGAGCCCAAAAGAAGAAACAACUAAAAUGCCCAUCAACUAGUGAAUGCAUGAACCAAAGAGUAGGUUCUUCAUAUAAUGGAAUAUUAUUCAGCCACAGAAAGGAAUGAACUACUGAUACAUACUGUGAUAUGGACGAACCGUGAAAACGCUCUGCUGAGUGAAAGAAGCCAGACGCAAAAGGCCACAGAGUAUGCAGUUCAGUUUACAUGAAAUGUCCAGAAGAGGCAAAUCCACAGAAGCAGAAAGAAGAUUUGGGGUUGCCAGAGGCUGGGGCUGAGGAGGUGAUGGAAAGUGACUGACAGCGGGUCUGGAGUUUCCUUGGCGGGCGAUGGAAAUAUUUUGGACUUAAAGAGUGGUGAGAAUGGUGCGACUUUGUUAAUAUUGUAAGUAAAACAACAUCAACAGUGAUAAAGACUGGAUGGUAUGCCUUAAAGGGGUGACUUUUAAUGGCAUUUGAGUUAGAUCUCAAAUAAAACCAACAGAGGACGCUGAAGAGAUAGACAGGGUCACCGCAUUGGAGGCAUCACGGCCCUAGUCGAAGAGUUUGAUUCUCAACCUCGGACUGGUGGGAGCCACUGACGGUUUUAGGCAUCACGGUGACAAUAUAGUUUUGCAGUUGAGAAAGAUCUCUGUGUAGAGUGGACUAGAGAUGGGCCGCUUCGAAGGCCACAAAAAGCCAGGUAUCUGGAGCCACACCUGGCUUCAGGCUUGAGCAGGUGAGGAGGCGGGCCCACCCUCGGGGACGCUGCGAGACCACCAUGUGGACAGCCGUCUUCUAGAACAGCUGUCACGGGGGGACAACCAUGCUUGAGGAGACAAGAGCUGGGAGAAAUUGCUUUAGACGGGGCGGGGGGGAGCCUGUGGGAAGACAUUGUAGGAGAGGCGGCCUUGGAGCAGAACUUUUGGUGCAGGGCAGGCAAAGAUUCUAAGGGCCUGCUGGGAAGAAGGGAUCACAGAAGCAGAAGCGCGGAGGCCAGGAGGGCCCAGGUUAAAUGGGCUUCUGUUUAGCCGGGUCAGAAGGGAAGCAAAGGCGUUCUCUCGUGGCCCAGCAGGGUUAAGGACCCAGCGUUGUGACUGCAGCAGCCUGGGUGGCUGCUGUGGCAGUGGGUUUCAUCCCUUUGAUCCCUGGCCCGGGAACUUCCAUAUGCCAUGGGUGGGGCCAAGAAGGAGGGGGGCAAACGUUAUGGUAAUGUAUUAGGGUUCUCCAGAGAAACAAAACCAAUAGGAACUAUAUAGAUACAUGUAUAUACAAGAGAAGAUUUAUUAUAGGAAUUGGUUUAUGUGACUCUGGAGACCAGGAGGUCCCAGAUCUGUCCUCUGUAAGCCAGAGAACCAGGGAAGCUGGUGGCGUAAUGCAGCCUGAGGACAGGGGACCUGAUGGCGUGUGUCCCGAUCCAAGUCUGAAGGCCAGAGACCUGAGAGCACCAGUCACCAAGGACAAGACGAGGGGGCUGUUCCAGCUCAGACCAGGACAGACGUGCUCCUCCUUGGCCUUAUCGCUCUGUUCAGGCCUCUCCGAUCAGAGCCGCCCAUGAGCAUCAGCGAGGGUCUCCUCUGUCCUUCCUCAGACUCCCGAUUCACACGCUCAUCUCUCCCAGAAACAGCCCUCAGAGACGCACCCUGCAAUGCGGUUUCACCAGCCAUCCGGGCAACCCGUCGUGCAUUAAGCUUACCACCACCCUGACGCCCGCACGCAGCUCCUUCAACCGCAUUUCCUCGCCUCGUGGAGACAUCAGCCGGGUCUUAACGCCCCCUGACACGGAACCACCGUCCCGCCUCCACCAGAAAACGCCCUGAUCUGACCCCUCCCGUUUCUCACAGCCUCCCCGCGAGGCUUUAGCGCUUCUCCACGGGAGACCGAGGUUCACAGGGAUCUCACGGACUUGACCCAGAAGUCCCACAGCCACACAAGGGCUGGCUGGCUUCUCAUCUCAGGUCUAUUUGAACACAACCACUGCACAAGGUGGGUUCAGGCCAACUCGUAGCGUGAGGACUUUAUUUCACAGUCAGUAAAGUCGUUCCUUCUCUUCCUGCACCAUAAAACUCCUAAAACUCA
Sus scrofa (pig) is the source of this 6989-nucleotide non-coding RNA. The record is from RefSeq and is a predicted model, not a curated record. Lineage: Eukaryota; Metazoa; Chordata; Mammalia; Artiodactyla; Suidae.